This 1402-nucleotide ribosomal RNA is filed under the name uncultured bacterium. Its description in RNAcentral is "16S ribosomal RNA". It matches the Rfam family "Bacterial small subunit ribosomal RNA". The record is from RNAcentral.
AGAGUUUGAUCCUGGCUCAGGAUGAACGCUAGCGGCAGGCUUAACACAUGCAAGUCGAGGGGCAGCGGGGAGGAAGCUUGCUUUCUCCGCCGGCGACCGGCGCACGGGUGAGUAACACGUAUGCAACCUGCCCCUGUCAGGAGGACAACCCGCCGAAAGGCGGGCUAAACCCGCGUACAUGCCACCGGGGCAUCCCGGAGGCAGGAAAGGCUUCGGCCGGACAGGGAUGGGCAUGCGGCGCAUUAGGCAGUAGGCGGGGUAACGGCCCACCUAACCGACGAUGCGUAGGGGUUCUGAGAGGAAGGUCCCCCACACUGGUACUGAGACACGGACCAGACUCCUACGGGAGGCAGCAGUGAGGAAUAUUGGUCAAUGGUCGGGAGACUGAACCAGCCAAGCCGCGUGAGGGAGGAAGGUACAGAGUAUCGUAAACCUCUUUUGUCAGGGAACAAAGACUGGGACGCGUCCCCGGAUGAGUGUACCUGAAGAAAAAGCAUCGGCUAACUCCGUGCCAGCAGCCGCGGUAAUACGGAGGAUGCGAGCGUUAUCCGGAUUUAUUGGGUUUAAAGGGUGCGCAGGCGGUCUGUUAAGUCAGCGGUCAAAGCCCGGGGCUCAACCCCGGCCCGCCGUUGAAACUGGCAGUCUCGAGUUGGAGAGAAGUAUGCGGAAUGCGCGGUGUAGCGGUGAAAUGCAUAGAUAUCGCGCAGAACUCCGAUUGCGAAGGCAGCAUGCCGGCUCCACACUGACGCUGAGGCACGAAAGCGUGGGUAUCGAACAGGAUUAGAUACCCUGGUAGUCCACGCAGUAAACGAUGAAUGCUGGCUGUCCGGGGGGACUGACCCCUGGGUGGCGAAGCGAAAGCGAUAAGCAUUCCACCUGGGGAGUACGCCGGCAACGGUGAAACUCAAAGGAAUUGACGGGGGCCCGCACAAGCGGAGGAACAUGUGGUUUAAUUCGAUGAUACGCGAGGAACCUUACCCGGGCUCAAACGGGGAGUGCCGCAGGCAGAGACGCCUGUUUCCCACGGGACACUCCCCGAGGUGCUGCAUGGUUGUCGUCAGCUCGUGCCGUGAGGUGUCGGCUUAAGUGCCAUAACGAGCGCAACCCCCGCGUGCAGUUGCUAACAGAUAACGCUGAGGACUCCGCACGGACUGCCGGCGCAAGCCGCGAGGAAGGCGGGGAUGACGUCAAAUCAGCACGGCCCUUACGUCCGGGGCGACACACGUGUUACAAUGGGUGGUACAGCGGGAAGCCAGGCGGCGACGCCGAGCGGAACCCGAAAUCCACUCUCAGUUCGGAUCGGAGUCUGCAACCCGACUCCGUGAAGCUGGAUUCGCUAGUAAUCGCGCAUCAGCCAUGGCGCGGUGAAUACGUUCCCGGGCCUUGCACUCACCGCCCGUCA